GUCGGGAUAGCUCAGCUGGUAGAGCAGAGGACUGAAAAUCCUCGUGUC
This 48-nucleotide transfer RNA is filed under the name Schlumbergera truncata (false Christmas cactus). Its description in RNAcentral is "partial tranfer RNA-Phe". It matches the Rfam family "tRNA", at positions 1 to 46 of the family's 71-position model. Rfam says of the family: Transfer RNA (tRNA) molecules are approximately 80 nucleotides in length. Their secondary structure includes four short double-helical elements and three loops (D, anti-codon, and T loops). Lineage: Eukaryota; Viridiplantae; Streptophyta; Magnoliopsida; Caryophyllales; Cactaceae. RNAcentral also lists the same sequence under 71 other names. The record is from RNAcentral.